RNAcentral lists this long non-coding RNA (1270 nucleotides) under Salmo salar (Atlantic salmon). RNAcentral's name for it is "lncRNA (ENSSSAG00000085809.1, ENSSSAG00000118812.1)". The record is from RNAcentral. Lineage: Eukaryota; Metazoa; Chordata; Actinopteri; Salmoniformes; Salmonidae.
CUCUAUUCUCCCCACCUCUCUCUCUCCCCCUCUCUCUUUCCCUCUCUCUUUUCCCAUCUCCCCCUCUCUUUUCCUUUCUCUCUCCCCCUCUAUCUUUUCCUCUCUCUCUCCUCCUCUCCCCCCUCUCCAGACAUCGUGAAACAAGCUGUGAAGGAGUACAGGAACAUCUACCCUGAGACGUGUGUUUGAGACAGUGUUUGGUCUGAAGCUGGUGGAGAUCGACUCUAAGAACCACGUCUACAUCCUCAUCAACAAACUGGAGCAGCUAGAGGGAGAAUCUCUCAACAUGUAGAUCACUGUGUGGAAAGACUAGAGGGAGAAUCUCUCAACAUGUAGGUCACUGUGUGGAAAGACUAGAGGGAGAAUCUCUCAACAUGUAGGUCACUGUGUGGAAAGACUAGAGGGAGAAUCUCUCAAGAUGGAGGUCACUGUGUGGAAAGACUAGAGGGAGAAUCUCUCAAGAUGGAGGUCACUGUGUGGAAAGACUAGAGGGAGAAUCUCUCAAGAUGGAGGUCACUGUGUGGAAAGACUAGAGGGACAAUCUCUCAACAUGUAGGUCACUGUGUGGAAAGACUAGAGGGAAAAUCUCUCAACAUGUAGGUCACUGUGUGGAAAGACUAGAGGGACAAUCUCUCAACAUGUAGGUCACUGUGUGGAAAGACUAGAGGGAAAAUCUCUCAAGAUGGAGGUCACUGUGUGGAAAGACAAGAGGGAGAAUCUCUCAACAUGUAGGUCACUGUGUGGAAAGACUAGAGGGAGAAUCUCUCAAGAUGGAGGUCACUGUGUGGAAAGACUAGAGGGAGAAUCUCUCAAGAUGUAAGCCCCAGGAAGACACCCCCUCCCCUACAGGAAGACUCCAAGCAGACACCCCCUCCCCUACAGGAAGACACCCCCUCCCCUACAGGAAGACUCCAGGAAGACACCCCCUCCCCUACAGGAAGACUCCAGGAAGACACCCCCUCCCCUGCAGGAAGACCGCAGGAAAACAUCCCCUCCCCAACAGGAAGACACCCCCUCUCCUACAGGAAGACACCCCUCCCCUACAGGAAGACACCCCUCUCCUACAGGAAGACACCCCCUCCCCUACAGGAAGACACCCCCUCCCCUACAGGAAGACACCCCCUCUCCUACAGGAAGACCCCAAGAAGACACCCCCUCUCCCACAGGAAGACACCCCCUCUCCUACAGGAAGAUCCCAGGAAGACACCCCUCCCCCACAGGAAGAUCCCAGGAAGACACCCCCUCCCCUACAGGAAGAUCCCAGGAAGAC